This 73-nucleotide transfer RNA is filed under the name Ipomoea nil (Japanese morning glory). It matches the Rfam family "tRNA". From Rfam's summary of the family: Transfer RNA (tRNA) molecules are approximately 80 nucleotides in length. Their secondary structure includes four short double-helical elements and three loops (D, anti-codon, and T loops). The record is from Rfam by way of RNAcentral. Lineage: Eukaryota; Viridiplantae; Streptophyta; Magnoliopsida; Solanales; Convolvulaceae.
UUUGUUAUAGUCUAGUUGGUUAGGAUAUUCGGUUUUCACUCGAAAGACUCGAGUUCAAUUCCCGGCAACAGAA